CAGGUGUCGUGAAAACUACCCCUAAAAGCCAAAAUGGGAAAGGAAAAGACUCAUAUCAACAUUGUCGUCAUUGGACACGUAGAUUCGGGCAAGUCCACCACUACUGGCCAUCUGAUCUAUAAAUGCGGUGGCAUCGACAAAAGAACCAUUGAAAAAUUUGAGAAGGAGGCUGCUGAGAUGGGAAAGGGCUCCUUCAAGUAUGCCUGGGUCUUGGAUAAACUGAAAGCUGAGCGUGAACGUGGUAUUACCAUUGAUAUCUCCUUGUGGAAAUUUGAGACCAGCAAGUACUAUGUGACUAUCAUUGAUGCCCCAGGACACAGAGACUUCAUCAAAAACAUGAUUACAGGGACAUCUCAGGUUGGUGGGAUUAAUAAUUCUAGGUUUCUUUAUCCCGAAAGGCUUGCUUUGUACACUGGUUUUGUCCUUUGGAGAGUUCACAGGGAUAUGUCUUUGCUUUCUUUAAAGGCUGACUGUGCUGUCCUGAUUGUUGCUGCUGGUGUUGGUGAAUUUGAAGCUGGUAUCUCCAAGAAUGGGCAGACCCGAGAGCAUGCCCUUCUGGCUUACACACUGGGUGUGAAACAACUAAUUGUCGGUGUUAACAAAAUGGAUUCCACUGAGCCACCCUACAGCCAGAAGAGAUAUGAGGAAAUUGUUAAGGAAGUCAGCACUUACAUUAAGAAAAUUGGCUACAACCCCGACACAGUAGCAUUUGUGCCAAUUUCUGGUUGGAAUGGUGACAACAUGCUGGAGCCAAGUGCUAACAUGCCUUGGUUCAAGGGAUGGAAAGUCACCCGUAAGGAUGGCAAUGCCAGUGGAACCACGCUGCUUGAGGCUCUGGACUGCAUCCUACCACCAACUCGUCCAACUGACAAGCCCUUGCGCCUGCCUCUCCAGGAUGUCUACAAAAUUGGUGGUAUUGGUACUGUUCCUGUUGGCCGAGUGGAGACUGGUGUUCUCA
This 958-nucleotide small RNA is filed under the name Pan troglodytes (chimpanzee). RNAcentral describes it as "retained intron". The record is from RNAcentral. Lineage: Eukaryota; Metazoa; Chordata; Mammalia; Primates; Hominidae.